GGGCAGGUGGUGAAAUAGCAGACACGCAAGGUUUAGGACCUUGUGCCGAAAGGCGUGGAGGUGCAAGUCCUCUCCUGCCCACAA
This 84-nucleotide transfer RNA is filed under the name Candidatus Kaiserbacteria bacterium RIFCSPHIGHO2_01_FULL_56_24. RNAcentral describes it as "tRNA-Leu". It matches the Rfam family "tRNA". From Rfam's summary of the family: Transfer RNA (tRNA) molecules are approximately 80 nucleotides in length. Their secondary structure includes four short double-helical elements and three loops (D, anti-codon, and T loops). Further hydrogen bonds mediate the characteristic L-shaped molecular structure. tRNAs have two regions of fundamental functional importance: the anti-codon, which is responsible for specific mRNA codon recognition, and the 3' end, to which the tRNAs corresponding amino acid is attached (by aminoacyl-tRNA synthetases). tRNAs cope with the degeneracy of the genetic code in two manners: having more than one tRNA (with a specific anti-codon) for a particular amino acid; and 'wobble' base-pairing, i.e. permitting non-standard base-pairing at the 3rd anti-codon position. Lineage: Bacteria; Candidatus Kaiseribacteriota. The record is from RNAcentral.